GAACUGAAGAGUUUGAUCCUGGCUCAGAUUGAACGCUGGCGGCGUGCCUAACACAUGCAAGUCGAGCGGCAGCGCGGGGGCAACCCUGGCGGCGAGCGGCGAACGGGUGCGUAAUACAUGGGAAUCUGCCCAGUAGUGGGGAAUAACCCGGGGAAACUCGGGCUAAUGCCGCAUACGACCUACGGGUGAAAGCGGGGGACCUUCGGGCCUCGCGCUAUUGGAUGAGCCCAUGUCGGAUUAGCUAGUUGGUAGGGUAACGGCCUGAAUUUUGGACAAUGGGCGAAAGCCUGAUCCAGCGACGCCGCGUGUGUGAAGAAGGCCUGCGGGUUGUAAAGCACUUUCGUUGGGAACGAAAUACGCCGACCUAAUACGUCGGCGGGCUGACGUUACCCAAACAAGAAGCACCGGCUAACUCUGUGCCAGCAGCCGCGGUAAUACAGAGGGUGCAAGCGUUAAUCGGAAUUACUGGGCGUAAAGCGCACGUAGGCGGCUACGUAAGUCGGAUGUGAAAUCCCCGGGCUCAACCUGGGAACUGCAUUCGAAACUGCGUGGCUAGAGUAAGGGAGAGGAAGGCGGAAUUCCCGGUGUAGCGGUGAAAUGCGUAGAUAUCGGGAGGAACAUCAGUGGCGAAGGCGGCCUUCUG
This is a non-coding RNA of Gammaproteobacteria bacterium SG8_30, 643 nucleotides long. Lineage: Bacteria; Pseudomonadati; Pseudomonadota; Gammaproteobacteria. The record is from Rfam.